This is a long non-coding RNA of Cyprinus carpio (common carp), 438 nucleotides long. RefSeq lists it as uncharacterized. The transcript has 5 exons. NCBI's taxonomy places the organism in Eukaryota, Metazoa, Chordata, Actinopteri, Cypriniformes, Cyprinidae. The record is from RefSeq and is a predicted model, not a curated record.
CUCAUGGCUGAGCAUAACCUUGUCAUGUCAGAUGAUGUUUAUGAAAUUACGGACCUUUACCUUCAACUUCGUGAACUGAUCCUUCAAGGACUGGAUUUGGAGGAAUAGAUUCACCAUUCUAAUCUAAUCUACAACAUUCACUAUAAGCUAAAGAUGUUGAACUGCAGCCUUACUCUCCCUACCCAAGCAACCUUGGACCACUGGAUGGAAUCGCAAAGCUUUUGGCAUCACAUGCCAGUGUGUUUUUAAUCCAAUCAUAGUCUCAAAACAAGUUUCUGAGUUCAAAGGCUCUGCAAUCCCCAUCCUUACUUCCAUUGUGCUAUCUCUAUCUCUAUCAAGAUUAAGGAUUUAACCAUUAUCCACUGUAUGAAGCCCUGCAACCUCUAAAGCACCCAGGCUCAGGCUCCAUGAGCCUACUCUGAGGAUCCAGAUGGAAAA